ACGGAGAGAGUCAGAGAUCCAGGCAGUGGGGAGCCUGAUAUGGCACUCGAUCCCAGGACCCCAGGAGCAAGACCUGAGCCGAAGGCAGAUGCUCAACCACUGAGCCACCCAGGUGCCCCUGGGCAUAGGGUCCUUGUAGAUAUAAGUAAUUAAGUUCAGAUAAGGUCAUACUGGAGCAGGGAGGGCCCUUAAUCAACCACUGCCUUCCUUGUAAGAAGAGGACAGAAGCACACAGGGGCAAGGUGGCCGUCUGUGGACUGACACAGAGAUUGGGGUGAUGCAUUUCCAAACUAGGGAACACCAAGACCUGCUGGCAAAUGCCAGAAAUCAGGAAGAGGCAAGGGAGUAUUCUCUUCAAGAGAUUUCAGAGGAAGCAUGGCCCUGUCUACACCUUGAUGUAGACUUCUGGCUCCCAGAACUGUCAGACAAUAAAUGUCUGUUGUUUUAAGCCAUUCAGUUCGUGAACACAUUGUUAUAUAACCCCUAAGAGACUAAUACACUUAAGCGGUGAUCGAAGUUAGCUAGAACGGUGAAACAAACAACAGCAGAAAUUUAAAAAUGAAGCAAGCAAACAAACAAAAACACAAGGACUUUUUUCUGACUUUGCAUCUCUAAAUGAGCGGUACGCAGCCUGGGCCGGCCUGCCACGCGUGUGCUUUGCAGGUUCUCUUCCUCCCAAGCAAGCUCCUGUGCUGUGGCUGCUUCCCCGCUCACCUCUACACGAACUUGACUUGAAAAGGUUUACUAAGCAAAUUAAUAAUGUAAAUGAGAAAGCAGCUAGCACCUUGCGUGAAGAAGCUUCGGUGAAGGCCUACUGCACAAUCAUUGUUUGCAUACAAAUGGAUGCUGCAGCUGAAAAUAAGUCUGUAAUGCUCAGGAAAGCAGGCCAGCAGGGCUGCUGACAGGGGACACUUUGGUACCCAUUCUGUUCCUUUUCUGCUAUUACACAAAUCUACAAAUAGCUUAUAGCUUACACUAGUAAGCUUACACUAGUUUUUAACACUAGGCUUUUCCUUUCCUUCUCACAACAAUCCCAGAUGGUGGGUGUUAGGAAAGUUCUAAUUUUACAGAUGAGGAAAUGGAUGCUUUGAGUGGUUGGGAAACUGGUCCCAGACUCAGAGAAAUGACAGGGUGGAGCCUUGAACCCAGAGCUUCGGCCUCCUGAUCUAGAGUGUGGCUGGAAGCUUCCUAAAAUACAAAAUAGAAUAUCUUUCUAAAAGUCCAUUGAUAAGCCCCUUAAUAUUAUCCAACCUUUAAUGGAUUGCUGAACACUGAGUGUUCCCUAGAACCUAUGAAGCAGAUCCUGUUCUUUGUAAAGAAACAGGUUCACAGAGGUUUUGUGACUUUUCUAAAACCGCAUAGUAGGUAGAUGGACCAGGAUUCAAAUCAGGCAAAAACCCAGCUCCCAUCCACUCAUAUCUUAAUCCGCCCUAGGGGUAGGGGUGGCUGUUAAAAGUCCAGAACCCUGACUCCACUGAGACUGCUGAAUCAGAAUUUCUGAAGGCAGACUCCGGAUUACAUUAGGUCCCUGGUGAUUCUGAGGUUGCUGUCCUCUAGGGGAUGCCAUUUGCCUCUGUAGUCUGGAUAAGGGCUCCUUUACUUCCCCUUCCUUAGAGUUCUUUGGUGGACUGUAAAGGUUCCCCAAAUAGCAUAUGCACCAGCUGUGUCUGUGAGGGUAUCUCCAGUUGGCUUCCACAGAGGUGUCACCUCCCACUGCCACCCCUAGGCAGCCAAGGGACUGAGGUAUCUUUCAGGGAGGGCAAAGAGCCCAAUGGGCCCCCUCAUUCUGGCAUUUUCAUUUAUCAUGCAAAUGAAAGGAUUUAAAUUAGGUCACAUCAGGGACUUGCAAAUAAAAACUGUGCCAGAGGGUUCUUGCACAGCCACAGGCGGGAGCUAUGCUGAGGGUUCUUCAUCUGCUUCUAUUUUUUAAUUUCCCAUCAAAUACAGGAGCUCCCAGUGCCAGGCUUCCCUGGCAUGAGGAAUGUCCACGGUCCAGAGCUUUGGGACCUGUAGUGUUGAUCUGUAGCCAGGCAGGCCUCUGCUUCUGGCUCUGCUGAAUCCAGGUAGGGAGCACUGAGUGCCGGUCCUGUGGGCUCAGUGAAAAGAACUGCCCAGGCUUUAGAGUCAGAGCCCACCUGGAUGAGGUCUAAUGCACACUGGGCAGGGCGCUGCUCCAGGCCAGACACUUAUCUUCACAGAAUCCAUCUUCCAAGGGCCUCAUGCCUGGGCUCUGUCACUUAUAAACGAGGGAACAUCGGACGAGUCCCUUAGCCAUCUGAGCCCUUCUCACUGUGCCUUACUGACACUAG
Molecule: long non-coding RNA, 2309 nt
Filed under: Canis lupus familiaris (dog)
Lineage: Eukaryota; Metazoa; Chordata; Mammalia; Carnivora; Canidae
Description: lncRNA (ENSCAFG00000056775.1, ENSCAFG00805002289.1, ENSCAFG00845007547.1)
Source: RNAcentral